RNAcentral lists this ribosomal RNA (253 nucleotides) under uncultured bacterium. RNAcentral describes it as "partial 16S ribosomal RNA". It matches the Rfam family "Bacterial small subunit ribosomal RNA", at positions 524 to 776 of the family's 1533-position model. The record is from RNAcentral.
UACGUAGGGUGCGAGCGUUGCCCGGAUUUAUUGGGCGUAAAGGGCGCGUAGGCGGCUCGGCACGUCCGUUGUGAAAGCCCCCGGCUCAACUGGGGAGGGUCACGCGAUACUGGUCGACUCGAAGGCAGGAGAGGGUAGUGGAAUUCCCGGUGUAGUGGUGAAAUGCGUAGAUAUCGGGAGGAACACCAGUGGCGAAGGCGACUACCUGGCCUGUUCUUGACGCUGAGGCGCGAAAGCUAGGGGAGCAAACGGG